RNAcentral lists this ribosomal RNA (537 nucleotides) under Kurtzmaniella natalensis. RNAcentral's name for it is "[Candida] natalensis partial large subunit ribosomal RNA". It matches the Rfam family "Eukaryotic large subunit ribosomal RNA", at positions 100 to 657 of the family's 3401-position model. Lineage: Eukaryota; Fungi; Ascomycota; Pichiomycetes; Serinales; Debaryomycetaceae. The record is from RNAcentral.
GGCAAAAGCUCAAAUUUGAAAUCUGGCACUUUCAGUGUCCGAGUUGUAAUUUGAAGAAGGUAACUCUGGAGUUGGCCCUUGUCUAUGUUCCUUGGAACAGGACGUCACAGAGGGUGAGAAUCCCGUGCGAUGGGGUGUCCAAUUCUAUGUAGAGUGCUUUCGAAGAGUCGAGUUGUUUGGGAAUGCAGCUCUAAGUGGGUGGUAAAUUCCAUCUAAAGCUAAAUAUUGGCGAGAGACCGAUAGCGAACAAGUACAGUGAUGGAAAGAUGAAAAGAACUUUGAAAAGAGAGUGAAAAAGUACGUGAAAUUGUUGAAAGGGAAGGGCUUGAGAUCAGACUCGGUAUUUUGCGAUCCUAUCCUUCGUGGAGAGGUUUCAUUUGCAGCUUACCGGGCCAGCAUCGGUUUGGAUGGUAGGAUAAUGACAUUGGAAUGUGGCUCUUCGGAGUGUUAUAGCCCUUGUUGAUACUGCCUAUCUAGACCGAGGACUGCGUCUUUGACUAGGAUGCUGGCAUAAUGAUCUUAAGCCGCCCGUCUUGA